RNAcentral lists this long non-coding RNA (1737 nucleotides) under Salmo salar (Atlantic salmon). RNAcentral describes it as "lncRNA (ENSSSAG00000103094.1)". Lineage: Eukaryota; Metazoa; Chordata; Actinopteri; Salmoniformes; Salmonidae. The record is from RNAcentral.
GUCCGCUUGAAAUGGAAUUAAAAAUCAAUUCCUUGUAUAAAUGGCUGCCAACCUCUACUGUGAGGGGUCAGAGACAUCUCAGACUUGCAUGCAUUUUGAAUGGUUUCAUAAGUCUCAUAAUAAUUGUUUACACAAUAUACUGACCAUUAUAAAGAAACAACUGGAUCUCUAAGUACAUAUAUUAAAUAUAUAAUAAAUCAUUUAUACACCUACUAUUGUCUAACAAAGUUACUUAUUUUUCAUUUUCUUUACAAAUAUUUACCUUUCAUUUCCCAUUGUCAGUGAUAAGGCAGUACUCAUCUCUAUAUUAUGGGGCUGGUUGUCAUAAGGCAGUACUCCUCUCUAUAUUAUGGGGCUGGUUGUGAUAAGGCAGUACUCCUCUCUACAUUAUGGGACUGGUUGUGAUAAGGCAGAACUCAUCUCUAUAUUAUGGGACUGGUUGUGAUAAGGCAGAACUCAUCUCUACAUUAUGGGACUGGUUGUGAUAAGGCAGUACUCACCUCUGCAUUAUGGGGCUGGUUGUGAUAAGGCAGUACUCACCUCUAUAUUAUGGGGCUGGUUGUGAUAAGGCAGUACUCACCUCUAUAUUAUGGGGCUGGUUGUGAUAAGGCAGUACUCAUCUCUAUAUUAUGGGGCUGGUUGUGAGAGAUGAAUGGAGGAAGAGAUGGAAGGAUGGAGGAUGAGAUGGAGGGAUGAGGGAGAGAUGGAGAGAUAUAAAGAGAGGGGGAUUACAGUAAGGUUAAGGAAGCAUGUUGAGAGAUAAAUUUGAUAAAUAUGUCCCUUGAGGUGUGAGGGGGAGAGGGAUGGAAGGAGACAGAAGGAUGCAGAGAGAGAUGACGAGGGACAGAGGGAGAUGACGAGGGACAGAGGGAGAUGACGAGGGACAGAGGGAGAUGACGAGGGACAGAGAGAGAUGACGAGGGACAGAGGGAGAUGACGAGGGACAGAGAGAGAUGACGAGGGACAGAGGGAGAUGACGAGGGACAGAGAGAGAUGACGAGGGACAGAGGGAGAUGACGAGGGAAAGAGAGAGAUGACGAGGGACAGAGAGAGAAGACGAGGGACAGAGGGAGAUGACGAGGGACAGAGGGAGAUGACGAGGGAAAGAUAGAGAUGACGAGGGACAGAGGGAGAUGACGAGGCACAGAGGGAGAUGACGAGGGAAAGAGAGAUAGAGGGAAAGGUGGUAAGAUGUUGCUGGAGGUUUGAAUGGGAGUAAGAGAGAAGAUGGAGGGAGGAAGAGAGAUGACAGAGGGAGGAAUAUGGAGGGAUGAAGGGAGAUGACAGAGGGAGGAAGAUGGAGGGAUGAAAGGAGAUGACAGAGGGAGGAAGAUGGAGGGAUGAAGGGAGAGACAUCAGGCGUUGUGGGGGCACUAGAGCGUAGUUUCCUGUCAACAAAGUUUAGUCUGAAGACCUUUCUUCGUAUCCUGUUGUAUAUUUUAUUAUAGGGAACACAGUCUAUAUAUCCUGUUGUAUAUUAUAUUAUAGGGAACACAGUCUAUAUAUCCUGUUGUAUAUUAUAUUAUAGAGAACACAGUCUAUAUAUCCUGUUGUAUAUUAUAUUAUAGGGAACACAGUCUAUAUAUCCUGUUGUAUAUUAUAUUAUAGAGAACACAGUCUAUAUAUCCUGUUGUAUAUUUUAUUAUAGGGAACACAGUCUAUAUAUCCUGUUGUAUAUUAUAUUAUAGGGAACACAGUCUAUAUAUCCUGUUGUAUAUUAUAUUAUAGAGAACACAG